RNAcentral lists this ribosomal RNA (804 nucleotides) under uncultured archaeon. Its description in RNAcentral is "bacterial SSU rRNA". It matches the Rfam family "Archaeal small subunit ribosomal RNA", at positions 1 to 802 of the family's 1478-position model. The record is from RNAcentral.
GCCCUUUUCCGGUUGAUCCUGCCGGAGGUCACUGCUAUCAGUGUUCGACUAAGCCAUGCGAGUCAAAUGUUCUUCGUGAACAUGGCGUACUGCUCAGUAACACGUGGAUAAUCUGCCCUAAGGUCUGGCAUAACACCGGGAAACUGAUGAUAAUUCCAGAUGGACCAUGGAUACUGGAAUGUUCUGUGGUCAAAAGCUCCGGCGCCUUAGGAUGAAUCUGCGGCCUAUCAGGUUGUAGUGGGUGUAACGUACCUACUAGCCGACGACGGGUACGGGUUGUGAGAGCAAGAGCCCGGAGAUGGAUUCUGAGACAUGAAUCCAGGCCCUACGGGGCGCAGCAGGCGCGAAAACUUUACAAUGCGGGAAACCGCGAUAAGGGGACACUGAGUGCCAGCAUCUUAUGUUGGCUGUCCACAUGUAUAAAUAGCAUGUGUUAGCAAGGGCCGGGCAAGACCGGUGCCAGCCGCCGCGGUAACGCCGGCGGCCCGAGUGGUGGCCACUAUUAUUGGGUCUAAAGGGUCCGUAGCCGGUUUGAUCAGUCUUCCGGGAAGUCUGACAGCUCAACUGUUAGGCUUCCGGGGGAUACUGUCAGGCUUGGGACCGGGAGAGGUAAGAGGUACUACAGGGGUAGGAGUGAAAUCUUGUAAUCCCUGUGGGACCACCAGUGGCGAAGGCGUCUUACCAGAACGGGUCCGACGGUGAGGGACGAAAGCUGGGGGCACGAACCGGAUUAGAUACCCGGGUAGUCCCAGCCGUAAACGAUGCUCGCUAGGUGUCUGGGAUGGUGCGACCGUUUCAGGUGCC